This is a long non-coding RNA of Oryzias latipes (Japanese medaka), 988 nucleotides long. RefSeq lists it as uncharacterized. The record is from RefSeq and is a predicted model, not a curated record. Lineage: Eukaryota; Metazoa; Chordata; Actinopteri; Beloniformes; Adrianichthyidae.
AUUAAAAGGAAAAGGGGGGCUGCUAUUCAUUCCUUGGUUGUCUACCUAAAUGAAAAAGAAGAAGAUCUUUUCAAAGAACUGGUGGAUGAAGAUGCUGAUAUCACCAGGGAAGUCUUGAAAAUUUCCAUCGCAAGAGGGACUACACCAGUUCAUGCAGGAGUGGUGAUCGAGGAAACAGAAGUCCUUGGAGACCUGGAUGCACCCAGAGCCUGUGCCUUGCUUAUGGGACUGAUAUAUGCCCUGAACAUCAGUAAAUCAAAAAGUCUAAAGAACACCUUGCAGGUCUUUCAGAAAGUUUUCUUUGAGCUUGAUGCCCUGAAAGGGUGAAGAACUACUUGGCAGUAAGUGUUCUAAAACAGUGGUGUAAAACUUCAUACCUGGAGGGCCGACGUCCUGCUGGUUUUCCAGAUCUUUCUGCAUCAUGUUCACCUGGUCUUGUGUGUCCAGCAAGAAUGAGGAAAAAAAGAGGACAUUUGGAGGAAGUGAGAGCCUCAGUUUCUUUGUUUCCACCAACAUCCUUUUUUCUGCCUCUGAUUGGCUGAACACACGUGACCAGGUGAUUAAAAGGAAGUACAACAAGGAAACCUGGAAAACCAGCAGGGCAUCAGCCGUUUUGCUUGGAAUAUUUACACCUGUGCAUUGAAAUCGGUUAUUGUGCUGCUAAUUUUUUGUUGCCGAUGUGCAUGUAGCAGCUACACCUUUAAGCAGUUUCAAUUGUAAGCCUAACAAAAAUGUUUUAUGUUUGACUUUUGAAGGUGUUAUUUGUCACUGAAGUAUUUCUUUUACUUUGUACAUUGUAUGCAGGAGAUUAAAUAUUGUUAGAGUCACUACCAAUCUUUACAUUCUUUUGAAUCUUUAAUUUUUGAGAAGCAACGAGAAAUGAGUAUAAAGGCGGAUUAUCGUUUCUUAAUUUUGUGAAGUAUUGGAUGGUGUAUGUUUGAAAAAUACUGUUUCUUUUCAUAAUAAACAAUUGAAGCAAAAACGAGAA